UUUAAAUGUAAAAUAAAUAUACUAAAGUAGUAUUAGUUAUGUUCUUGAAAUUUAAAGAUUUUGGCGGUAUUUUAGUCUAUUUAGAGGAGCCUGUUCUAUAAUUGAUAAUCCACGAUUAAUUUUACUUAAUUUAUAUAAAUUUGUAUACCGUCGUUAUAAGAAGAUUUUAAAAGAAAAUAAAUUUUUAAUAGUUUAUAUAAAAAAAUAUAUCAGAUCAAGGUGCAGUUUAUAGUUAAGAAGAAAUGGGCUACAAUAAAUUUAUUUAUAUGAAUUAAAGUGAGAAUUUAACUUUAUGAAAGUGGAUUUAAUAGUAAUAAAAUUAAUUUUAAUUUUAUGAUUUUAGCUCUAAAAUAUGU
Molecule: ribosomal RNA, 356 nt
Filed under: Carabus violaceus fulgens
Lineage: Eukaryota; Metazoa; Arthropoda; Insecta; Coleoptera; Carabidae
Description: partial 12S ribosomal RNA
Source: RNAcentral